AGCGUCCUACGGGGCGCAGCAGUAGGGAAUCUUCCACAAUGGACGAAAGUCUGAUGGAGCAACGCCGCGUGAGUGAAGAAGGGUUUCGGCUCGUAAAGCUCUGUUGGUAGUGAAGAAAGAUAGAGGUAGUAACUGGCCUUUAUUUGACGGUAAUUACUUAGAUAGUCACGGCUAACUACGUGCCAGCAGCCGCGGUAAUACGUAGGUGGCAAGCGUUGUCCGGAUUUAUUGGG
RNAcentral lists this ribosomal RNA (233 nucleotides) under uncultured bacterium. Its description in RNAcentral is "partial 16S ribosomal RNA". It matches the Rfam family "Bacterial small subunit ribosomal RNA", at positions 333 to 558 of the family's 1533-position model. The record is from RNAcentral.